UACGGAGGGUGCAAGCGUUGUUCGGAAUUACUGGGCGUAAAGCGCGUGUAGGCGGUUUCCUCAGUCUGGUGUGAAAGCCCGGGGCUCACCCCCGGAAGUGCAUCGGAUACUGGGAGACUAGAGUACCGGAGAGGAGGGUGGAAUUCCUGGUGUAGCGGUGAAAUGCGUAGAUAUCAGGAGGAACACCGGUGGCGAAGGCGGCCCUCUGGACGGAUACUGACGCUGAGACGCGAAAGCGUGGGGAGCAAACAGG
This 253-nucleotide ribosomal RNA is filed under the name uncultured bacterium. RNAcentral describes it as "partial 16S ribosomal RNA". It matches the Rfam family "Bacterial small subunit ribosomal RNA", at positions 524 to 776 of the family's 1533-position model. The record is from RNAcentral.